This 497-nucleotide ribosomal RNA is filed under the name uncultured bacterium. RNAcentral describes it as "partial 16S ribosomal RNA". It matches the Rfam family "Bacterial small subunit ribosomal RNA", at positions 28 to 507 of the family's 1533-position model. The record is from RNAcentral.
GAUGAACGCUGGCGGCGUGCCUAACACAUGCAAGUCGAGCGAACGGACGAGAAGCUUGUUUUUUUGAUGUUAGCGGCGGACGGGUGAGUAACACGUGGAUAACCCACCUAUAUGACUGGGAUAACUUCGGGAAACCGGAGCUAAUACCGGAUAAUAUUUUGAACGGAAUGGUUCAAAAGUGAAAGACGGUCUUGCUGUCACUUAUAGACGGAUCCGCGCUGCAUUAGCUAGUUGGUAAGGUAACGGCUUACCAAGGCAACGAUGCAUAGCCGAGCUGAGAGGGUGAGCGGCCACACUGGAACUGAGACACGGUCCAGACUCCUACGGGAGUCAGCAGUGGGGAAUCUUCCACAAUUGGCGAAAGCCUGACAGAGCAACGCCGCGUGGGUGAUGAAGGGCUUCGGGUCGUAAAGCUCUGUUAUUAGGGAAGAAAAUAUGUAGAAGUAACUGUGCACGUCUUGACGGUACCUAAUCAAGAAGCCACGGCUAACUACGUG